UCGCUAGUAAUCGCGGAUCAGCACGCCGCGGUGAAUACGUUCCCGGGCCUUGUACACACCGCCCGUCACACCGAUGAGAGUCUGUAACACCCAAGCCGGUGGGAUAACCUUUAUAGGAGUCAGCCGUCUAAGGUAGGACAGAUGAUUAGGGUGAAGUCGUAACAAGGUACC
This 171-nucleotide ribosomal RNA is filed under the name uncultured bacterium. Its description in RNAcentral is "partial 16S ribosomal RNA". It matches the Rfam family "Bacterial small subunit ribosomal RNA", at positions 1332 to 1500 of the family's 1533-position model. The record is from RNAcentral.